UACGUAGGGUGCAAGCGUUAAUCGGAAUUACUGGGCGUAAAGCGCGUGUAGGCGGCUCGAUAAGUCCGGUGUGAAACCUUGGGGCUCAACCCCAAGCCUGCACUGGAUACUGCCGAGCUAGAGUCCGGGAGGGGAGAGCGGAAUUCCUAGUGUAGCGGUGAAAUGCGCAGAUAUUAGGAAGAACACCGGUGGCGAAGGCGGCUCUCUGGAACGGUACUGACGCUGAGACGCGAAAGCGUGGGGAGCGAACAGG
This 253-nucleotide ribosomal RNA is filed under the name uncultured bacterium. RNAcentral describes it as "partial 16S ribosomal RNA". It matches the Rfam family "Bacterial small subunit ribosomal RNA", at positions 524 to 776 of the family's 1533-position model. The record is from RNAcentral.